UCCUAAAAAGCUAGCCCAGCCCUUAAAGAAACAACCCCCUCUAAAUUAAAUUACCCAUGAAACAAAUAACAAACCAUUUUACCUCCCUAGUACCCGGGCGACAGAAAAGGAAAAUUGGAGCAAUAGAAAAAGUACCGCAAGGGAAAGCUGAAAGAGAAGUGAAACAACUACCCCAAGCUACCAAAAGCAGAGAUAACCCCUCGUACCUUUUGCAUCAUGACCUAGCCAGUAUGCCUGAGCACAGAGAACUUUAGUUCAGCCCCCCGAAACUAGACGAGCUACUUCAAGACAGCCUAUGUUGGGCACACCCGUCUCUGUUGCAAAAGAGUGGGACGAUCUUCAAGUAGAGGUGACAAACCUAUCGAGCCUAGUCAUAGCUGGUUGUCUGAGAAGUGUAUAUAAGUGCAGCCUCCCGACACCCCCCAUCCAAGACAUCCAUGUCCCCCAAGACUAAGGGUGACCGGGAGAGUUAGUCAAAGAGGGUACAGCCCCUUUGAAAAAGGACACAACCUCUCCGGGCGACAAAAGAUCAUAAUUAACCCAAGGAAACUUGUUUUAGUGGGCCUAAAAGCAGCCACCUAUAAAGAAAGCGUUAAAGCUCAUACAGACUCCUGCCCCCAAUACUGAACAUAACUCUUUACUCCCCCUCCACUAUCAGACCCUCCCACAAACCCUGGGAAAGACCCUGCUAGGAUGAGUAAUAAGAGGGGCCGCCCCUCUCCCCACAUACGUGUACAUCGGAACGGACCCUCCGCCGAUAAUCAACGAUCCGCCCGCCCGAGGGGAAUGUAGUACUGCCUAAAUAGCAAGAAAACCCGACACAAUAAAUCGUUAACCCAACACAGGUAUGUAUGCCCGGAAAGACUUAAUCAAAGGGAAGGAACUCGGCAAACACAAGCCUCGCCUGUUUACCAAAAACAUCGCCUCUUGCAAAACGAACGAAUAAGAGGUCCCGCCUGCCCAGUGACUAUAUGUUAAACGGCCGCGGUAUUUUGACCGUGCGAAGGUAGCGCAAUCACUUGUCUCUUAAAUGGAGACCUGUAUGAAAGGCAUCACGAGGGCUUAACUGUCUCCCCUUUAAAGUCAAUGAAAUUGAUCUCCCCGUGCAGAAGCGGGGAUACACUCGUAAGACGAGAAGACCCUAUGGAGCUUAAGAUACAAGGCGACUCAUGUCAAUCACCCGCUAAAGGAAAUGAACAAGAUGAACUCCGCUGGAAUGUCUUCGGUUGGGGCGACCGCGGGGAAAUACAAAACCCCCACAUGGACCAGGGUUACUACAACCCUAAAACCUAGACCCACAGGUCAAAUCAACAGUAUUUCUGACCAUCAAAGAUCCGGCAAUGCCGAUCGACGGACCAAGUUACCCUAGGGAUAACAGCGCAAUCCCCUCCUAGAGCCCUUAUCAACGAGAGGGUUUACGACCUCGAUGUUGGAUCAGGACAUCCUAAUGGUGCAGCCGCUAUUCAGGGUUCGUUUGUUCAACGAUUAACAGUCCUACGCGAUCUGAGUUCAGACCGGAGAAAUCCAGGUCAGUUUCUAUCUACGCAUUGAUUUUUUCUAGUACGAAAGGACCGAAAAGAAGAGGCCUAUGUCAAUGGCACGCCUCACCCUCUACUAAUGAAUACAAAUAAAAUAGCAGGAGGGCAAAAUGCCACGCCCAAAAGCAGGGCUA
This 1672-nucleotide ribosomal RNA is filed under the name Triphoturus mexicanus (Mexican lampfish). Its description in RNAcentral is "16S ribosomal RNA". The stretch from base 103 to 1561 matches the Rfam family "Bacterial large subunit ribosomal RNA". The record is from RNAcentral. Lineage: Eukaryota; Metazoa; Chordata; Actinopteri; Myctophiformes; Myctophidae.